Molecule: long non-coding RNA, 1676 nt
Organism: Papaver somniferum (opium poppy)
Lineage: Eukaryota; Viridiplantae; Streptophyta; Magnoliopsida; Ranunculales; Papaveraceae
Exons: 3
Source: RefSeq, a predicted model, not a curated record
ACGUUUUUCACCAAAACCUCCAAGAAUCUCCGCCAUGAUUUCUGAAACACCUCCACCAUGAAAGAAGAACAACGGCUACGAAAAACCUGAGACCUAAUAUCAUAUUUUAACCCAGGCUAUACAAGUUUCUGGCAUACAGAACAUGAGAAAUAAAAGUUUUUAUUUUAAUUUUUGGUUCAAGUUAUACAUCUUUGUAGUAAUGGAAGGCAAAGAAGUCUUCGUUCCCCGUUGUAGAGCACACUCGAAUUCAGCAGUUGAUAAAAACAUCACAGUACCAGAACUCCGUAGAAAUCCUAGAUAUGUUGAGCAAUCUCGAAUGCGAGAAAAGAUGGAUAUGAUAAAUGAAAGGAAAAGGCAAUGUCAACAGAUUUGGACCCCGUCCCAUCAAAGAGCUCAUGGGCUACAACAGCGCCGAAUUUUGAGAGAGCCAAACAAAGCUCAAUGACAAUACACGAAUGGGAAGCUUUCCUUAGAAAACGACCUAAUGAAUACUGAAUUCGGUCAUCACAAUAACUCAAGAAUAAAAAUGGGGAACAAGUUGGAACGAGUAAUGGUAAGCCAGAAUAUGUUUACUGUUGAAUAUUGUUUUAUUUACUGUCAACUUCUUCAAGCAGCUGGUGAUGGUGAUUAUGUACGCUGCGAAGACAAUUUACAUCUUUGAAUGAAAAGUGCAAUUCCUUUUUGGUACAAAUUACAGUUUUCUUCAGCUAAUGUUGGAAGUUUGAUUUACUAGAACUAGCCAAUUUGAUGAAAAGGGGAAAAUAAAUAUUCACUGUCGAUAUUGUUUUACUUACUGUGAACUUCUCUAAGCAGCUGGUGAUUGUGAUUAUGUACGCCGCGAAGCGGAUGGUGAAGAAUGAUGGUAGCGAGAUGAUGGACUGGUGGCGCUGUGUUGCUGCUGGCAUGGUGUUGUAGACUGCAUGGAAAGAAGGUGAUAUAUGCAGGUUAGGUGGUGAUGCAAGUAGUGACAUUAUGAGAUGGAACUGGUGGUCGCUGGUGAAAAGAGACUUGGCGGAGUGUUGGGAAUGGAAUGUGCUCUUGGUAAUAGCAUCCUUGGAAGGAAGGAAUUUGAGGCAAUGCCUGUGCCCUAGGUGUUAUAACUAAACGCAAAAUGGAGACAACUAUGCUGGAUGAUGGUCAAGUUGUUAAUAUCAUUGACACGCCAGGUUUUUCUGGGAAUUGUAAAUUUCGUAAAUGAAAUGGUCAAUUGUAUUAAUCUCGCGAAGGAUGGGAUUGAUGGACAAUGUGAUCAGAGUAUUGCAGGAAGUGCUCAUUUGGAUCUACUUCUUUUAUAUCAUCCAAGAACUGUCCGUUUAAUCAUGAUCCUUACACAAUGAUGCUAGCCUUUGGAAGCGCCAUUAGAGAGAAAAUCUGAAGGAUGUCAUGAAAAGAAACUCUUUGGGUCCUGAUGCUGAGAUUAAUGCCCAGACUUCUUAAAGUUAAAUGAUGUGGACUGUUAAAUGAUUAUCGAAUACAAAUAUCUUCUCUAACUUCUUUUGUAUAUGUUAAUAAUUGAUUUAGUACUAACCAAAAACCAACUUGAAAUGUGGUAUCGUAUAUGGUAGUCUUUAUGUAGUUUUUUUUUUCUUUUCUUUAUGUAGUUUUAUGUAUCAUUUCUACAGUUUUUAUCCCCGUUAGUCCUGACUUAGGAUCCGAAAAAUCUGUAACUCUUUCUU